This 254-nucleotide ribosomal RNA is filed under the name uncultured bacterium. Its description in RNAcentral is "partial 16S ribosomal RNA". It matches the Rfam family "Bacterial small subunit ribosomal RNA", at positions 796 to 1041 of the family's 1533-position model. The record is from RNAcentral.
CACGCCGUAAACGAUGCCUACUAGAUUGUGGCGGUUCUGACGCCGGCACAGUCGAAGCCAAAGUGUUAAGUAGGCCGCCUGGGGAGUACGGUCGCAAGGCUAAAACUCAAAGGAAUUGACGGGGGCUCACACAAGCGGUGGAGCAUGUGGAUUAAUUCGAAGCAACGCGCAGAACCUUACCUAGGUUUGACAUGCUUGGAUGCUUGCCUGGAAACAGGUUAAGCUGCUCUUCGGAGUGAAACUUGCACAGGUGC